GACGAACGCUGGCGGCGUGCUUAACACAUGCAAGUCGAACGCUGAAGCUCAGCUUUUGUUGGGUGGAUGAGUGGCGAACGGGUGAGUAACACGUGAGUAACCUGCCCCCUUCUUUGGGAUAACGCCCGGAAACGGGUGCUAAUACUGGAUAUUCACUGGUCUUCGCAUGGGGGUUGGUAGAAAGGGUUUUUCUGGUGGGGGAUGGGCUCGCGGCCUAUCAGCUUGUUGGUGGGGUGAUGGCCUACCAAGGCUUUGACGGGUAGCCGGCCUGAGAGGGUGACCGGUCACAUUGGGACUGAGAUACGGCCCAGACUCCUACGGGAGGCAGCAGUGGGGAAUAUUGCACAAUGGGCGCAAGCCUGAUGCAGCGACGCCGCGUGAGGGAUGGAGGCCUUCGGGUUGUGAACCUCUUUCGCUCAUGGUCAAGCCACAACAAUGGUUGUGGUGAGGGUAGUGGGUAAAGAAGCGCCGGCUAACUACGUG
Molecule: ribosomal RNA, 483 nt
Filed under: uncultured bacterium
Lineage: Bacteria
Description: partial 16S ribosomal RNA
Rfam family: Bacterial small subunit ribosomal RNA
Source: RNAcentral